GAUGAAGAACGUAGCGAAAUGCGAUAAGUAAUGUGAAUUGCAGAAUUCAGUGAAUCAUCGAAUCUUUGAACGCACCUUGCGCCCUUUGGCCAUUCCGAAGGGCAUGCCUGUUUGAGAAUCAUGAACACCUCAACUCUUCAUGGUUUUCCGUGAUGAGCUUGGACUUUGGGGGUCUUGCUGGCCUAUGGUCAGCUCCUCUAAAAUAAAUCAGCUUGCCAGUGUUUGGUGGGUAUCACAGGUGUGAUAACUAUCUACGCUUGUGGUUUUCCACCAGGUAACCUUCAGCAGUGGAGGUUCGCUGGAGCUCACAGAUGUGUCUCUCCUCAGUGAGGACAGCUCUUUGAAUGUUUGAUCUCAAAUCAGGUAGGACUACCCGCUGAACUUAAGCAUAUCAAUAAGCGGAGGA
RNAcentral lists this unclassified non-coding RNA (406 nucleotides) under soil metagenome. Its description in RNAcentral is "partial contains 5.8S ribosomal RNA, internal transcribed spacer 2, and large subunit ribosomal RNA". The stretch from base 1 to 121 matches the Rfam family "5.8S ribosomal RNA", at positions 35 to 154 of the family's 154-position model. The record is from RNAcentral.